Molecule: long non-coding RNA, 153 nt
Filed under: Monodelphis domestica (gray short-tailed opossum)
Lineage: Eukaryota; Metazoa; Chordata; Mammalia; Didelphimorphia; Didelphidae
Description: lncRNA (ENSMODG00000044734.1)
Source: RNAcentral
UUUUAAAACGUGUUUUCAUUUUUAGAAAUCAGAGUGUGUGAAAAUGGCAAGAGAAGAGAAAGUGUUGGACUGAAUAACAGAAGGGUCUUUGAAGUCCAGUGGCAAGACAAAAGUCAAGACAACUGGUGAUAGGCCAAGAUGUAGCGGAUGACC